RNAcentral lists this small RNA (562 nucleotides) under Pan troglodytes (chimpanzee). RNAcentral's name for it is "processed transcript". The record is from RNAcentral. Lineage: Eukaryota; Metazoa; Chordata; Mammalia; Primates; Hominidae.
ACAGCGGAACUCCGGGUGCCGGUUGAGGUUGCUGGUGGACCUGCUCUGGUGGUCUUGGAUGAGGCCCCAUGAGCGCGGCGCCCCUGGUGGGCUACAGCAGCAGCGGCUCCGAGGAUGAGUCCGAGGACGGGAUGCGGACCAGGCUGGGGGAUGGGAGCCACCGUCGUGGCCACAGCCCCCUUCCCAGGCAACUGGGCCACCCACGUCUAUGUACCAUAUGAAGCCAAGGAGGAGUUCCUGGAUCUGCUUGAUGUGUUGCUGCCCCAUGCCCAGACAUAUGUCCCCCGGCUGGUAAGGAUGGAGGCGUUCCACCUCAGCCUGUCCCAGAGUGUGGUUCUGCGCCACCACUGGAUCCUCCCCUUCGUGCAGGCUCUGAAAGCCCGUAUGACCUCCUUCCACAGAUUCUUCUUUACUGCCAACCAGGUAAAGAUUUACACCAAUCAAGAGAAAACCAGGACCUUUAUUGGGCUUGAGGUCACUUCAGGGCAUGCCCAGUUCCUGGACCUGGUUUCAGAGGUGGACAGAGUCAUGGAGGAAUUCAACCUCACCACUUUCUACCAGG